RNAcentral lists this ribosomal RNA (613 nucleotides) under uncultured bacterium. RNAcentral's name for it is "bacterial SSU rRNA". It matches the Rfam family "Bacterial small subunit ribosomal RNA", at positions 202 to 803 of the family's 1533-position model. The record is from RNAcentral.
AAAAGAUGGUUCUGCUAUCACUCUUGGAUGGACCUGCGGUGCAUUAGCUAGUUGGUAAGGUAACGGCUUACCAAGGCAAUGAUGCAUAGCCGAGUUGAGAGACUGAUCGGCCACAUUGGGACUGAGACACGGCCCAAACUCCUACGGGAGGCAGCAGUAGGGAAUCUUCCACAAUGGACGCAAGUCUGAUGGAGCAGCGCCGCGUGAGUGAAGAAGGGUUUCGGCUCGUAAAGCUCUGUUGGUAGUGAAGAAAGAUAGAGGUAGUAACUGGCCUUUAUUUGACGGUAAUUACCUAGAAAGUCACGGCUAACUACGUGCCAGCAGCCGCGGUAAUACGUAGGUGGCAAGCGUUGUCCGGAUUUAUUGGGCGUAAAGCGAGUGCAGGCGGUUCAAUAAGUCUGAUGUGAAAGCCUUCGGCUCAACCGGAGAAUUGCAUCAGAAACUGUUGAACUUGAGUGCAGAAGAGGAGAGUGGAACUCCAUGUGUAGCGGUGGAAUGCGUAGAUAUAUGGAAGAACACCAGUGGCGAAGGCGGCUCUCUGGUCUGCAACUGACGCUGAGGCUCGAAAGCAUGGGUAGCGAACAGGAUUAGAUACCCUGGUAGUCCAUGCCGU